UACGGAGGGUGCGAGCGUUGUCCGGCAUCACUGGGCGUAAAGGGCGCGUAGGCGGCGCGGAUAGUCGGCGGUGAAAGCCCGGAGCUCAACUCCGGGUCGGCCGUCGAUACUUCCGGGCUUGAGCACUGUAGAGGCAGAUGGAAUUCCGGGUGUAGCGGUGGAAUGCGUAGAGAUCCGGAAGAACACCGGUGGCGAAGGCGGUCUGCUGGGCAGUUGCUGACGCUGAUGCGCGACAGCGUGGGGAGCAAACAGG
This 253-nucleotide ribosomal RNA is filed under the name uncultured bacterium. RNAcentral's name for it is "partial 16S ribosomal RNA". It matches the Rfam family "Bacterial small subunit ribosomal RNA", at positions 524 to 776 of the family's 1533-position model. The record is from RNAcentral.